RNAcentral lists this long non-coding RNA (713 nucleotides) under Pan troglodytes (chimpanzee). RNAcentral's name for it is "long non-coding RNA NONPTRT001877". Lineage: Eukaryota; Metazoa; Chordata; Mammalia; Primates; Hominidae. The record is from RNAcentral.
CAGGUAUGGGGCCUUGGCAUGGACGCCCUUCCUCCACCUCCAGCAAGAGAAAGAGUAAGCCCUUGGGGAGGACGGAGGGGAAACCAGCUCAGCCCCAAAUCCUGGUCUCUGUCCAAGCCAGGCCCCAGGACAGAGGGGGACUGAUGGUGUCAGGGUGGGGGUGGUCUCAGCAGAAAGCAGAAACGGCAUCAGGCAGGGCCAUGUCAUCCUUCAGGUGCCCAGCAGGCACUCCCCACCCUAAACCUCAUCUCAGGGCUUCCGCCGCCCACUGCCUGCCCCUGGCCGAGGCUCUGAGCUGUGACGCUGAGCCCGGGGCUGGCUGGAGGGUUUGGGCUGCAGGGAGGGACUGGAGUGAGAAGGAGGGAGUCCAUCCUCCGUGCUCCCGGCCUGGGCCAGUGCUGCCUCCACUGCAUCCAGCUCCUCACUGCCUGCCUUCAGCUUGACCCGAAGCAGCGCUGCAUAGGUGCUGUAGCGGGAUUUCUGAGGUAGAGGGGCAGGGGCUGUGAGAGCCUCUUCUCUGCCUUCUGCCCACCCCACCAUCUGGACCAGGGAGGGCCGCCAGCAGGGCAGAAGAUGGCAGGUGCCCACCCAGGACUGUGAGAUGGUCCCAUGCGGGCUGGUGCCCCCUCUGGGCUCUCCUGGGACCAUCAUCUAUAACCUAAUGUGUCUUGAGCCUUUACUAGAGCUGGGGAAAUGGCACGCUUGACACAUGC